UGCUGCUGCUCCUGCUGCUGCUGCCGUUGCUGCUGCUCCUGCUGUUCCUGUUGGAAAGCAGCAGCAGCAGCAGCAGCAGCAGCAGCAGCAGCAGCA
This 96-nucleotide microRNA precursor is filed under the name Chlamydomonas reinhardtii. RNAcentral describes it as "pre miRNA mir-598". The record is from RNAcentral. Lineage: Eukaryota; Viridiplantae; Chlorophyta; Chlorophyceae; Chlamydomonadales; Chlamydomonadaceae.